GAUGAAGAACGUAGCGAAAUGCGAUACUUGGUGUGAAUUGCAGAAUCCCGUGAACCAUCGAGUCUUUGAACGCAAGUUGCGCCCGAAGCCAUUAGGCCGAGGGCACGCCUGCCUGGGCGUCACACGUCGUUGCCCCCCCAUCUACUCCUUCGGGAUUGCGGGGGGCGGAUGAUGGCCUCCCGUGCGCCACGCCGCGCGGUUGGCAUAAAUGCCAAGUCCUCGGCGACGCACGCCACGACAAUCGGUGGUUGCGAAACCUCGGUUGCCCGUCGUGUGCGGUCGUCGCGCAUCGAGGGCUCGAAAAAAUUGCCGGGUUCCGGCUCGGCUUUCAACGCGACCCCAGGUCAGGCGGGGUUACCCGCUGAAUUUAAGCAUAUCAUAAGCGGAGGA
RNAcentral lists this unclassified non-coding RNA (390 nucleotides) under soil metagenome. RNAcentral describes it as "partial contains 5.8S ribosomal RNA, internal transcribed spacer 2, and large subunit ribosomal RNA". The stretch from base 1 to 122 matches the Rfam family "5.8S ribosomal RNA", at positions 35 to 154 of the family's 154-position model. The record is from RNAcentral.